AACGAACGCUGGCGGCAGGCCUAACACAUGCAAGUCGAGCGAGCAUUUCGGUGCUAGCGGCGGACGGGUGAGUAACGCGUGGGAACGUGCCCUUUUCUGCGGAAUAGUCCUGGGAAACUGGGGGUAAUACCGCAUACGCCCUUUUGGGGAAAGAUUUAUCGGAGAAGGAUCGGCCCGCGUUGGAUUAGGUAGUUGGUGGGGUAAUGGCCCACCAAGCCGACGAUCCAUAGCUGGUUUGAGAGGAUGAUCAGCCACACUGAGACUGGGACACGGCCCAGACUCCUACGGGAGGCAGCAGUGGGGAAUCUUAGACAAUGGGGGCAACCCUGAUCUAGCCAUGCCGCGUGAGUGAUGAAGGCCUUAGGGUUGUAAAGCUCUUUCAGCUGGGAAGAUAAUGACGGUACCAGCAGAAGAAGCCCCGGCUAACUCCGUG
Molecule: ribosomal RNA, 433 nt
Filed under: uncultured bacterium
Lineage: Bacteria
Description: partial 16S ribosomal RNA
Rfam family: Bacterial small subunit ribosomal RNA
Source: RNAcentral